RNAcentral lists this small RNA (264 nucleotides) under Microcebus murinus (gray mouse lemur). Its description in RNAcentral is "Metazoan signal recognition particle RNA (ENSMICG00000038145.2)". Lineage: Eukaryota; Metazoa; Chordata; Mammalia; Primates; Cheirogaleidae. The record is from RNAcentral.
GCCGGGCAUGGUGGCACAUGCCUGUAGUCCUAGCUACUUGGGAGGCUGAGGCAGCAGGAUCAUCGUGUGCUAUGUUGAUUGGGUGUCCGCACUAAAUUCCACAUCAAUAUGGUGACCUCCCAGUAGCAGGGAGCCACCAGGUUGCCUAAGGAGGGGUAAACUAGCCCAGAUCAGACAUGGGGUAGGUCACAAAGAAAGAGUGUGUCCUCUUUGUACAUGGAAGAUACAAGUGGACCAAAUGGAAGAACACUAUGGCCUGUAUCU